This 592-nucleotide transfer RNA is filed under the name Flavobacterium psychrophilum. RNAcentral describes it as "partial 16S-23S intergenic spacer". The stretch from base 260 to 333 matches the Rfam family "tRNA". The record is from RNAcentral. Lineage: Bacteria; Pseudomonadati; Bacteroidota; Flavobacteriia; Flavobacteriales; Flavobacteriaceae.
AAUUAUUGUUAUCAAAUNAGAAGAGUGUCUCGAAGCUCAGCUGGUUAGANNACUANACUGAUAAUGUAGGGGUCGACAGUUCGANUCUGUCCGAGACAACAACUUAUUUAAGAUUUUAGAAUUAAGAUUUUAGAUUAAAAAAAGGAUAAAUACGUUCAUUAAAGUAAAGGAAAUAUUAGAAGUUGAGGAUUCAACCAAAAGAAAUUAGAACUACAAUUCAAAAUCUAAAAUCUGAAUUCAAAAAAUCUAAAAUCUAUUAGGGGGAUUAGCUCAGCUGGCUAGAGCGCCUGCCUUGCACGCAGGAGGUCAACGGUUCGACUCCGUUAUUCUCCACGAGAUAGUAUCAAGAUGAUAGUAUAAGUAUUAAGACAAAAUCUUAAUACUUAAUACAAAACACUUAAUACUUUAUUAAAGUUCAUUGACAUAUUGAGAUAAGAAAAUAUUUAAAAAGUAGAAAGAACACUUUUUAGUGAUUAGACAAAAGGCAUUAGGCAUAAGUUGAAAAAUUAAUGGUUAAUUACUAAUGGCUAAUGGCUAGAAAAAGUACAAUAAGCAAAAUAAGGGCGUAUGGGGGAUGCCUAGAAUUACUAGU